UCACUUAUCCCUCUCCUCGCGAAAAUCCUCUAAUACAAAUACCAAUUCCUCACAUCGCAUUUCUCAAAUCAGUAAACAAAAUCUUGAGAUUAGGAUGUGAAAGGUGAGGAAUUGAGCUUGAAUUCAUCAAGUCAUUCUUCUUCUUACGUAUUUGCGAGAGAUCGCAGAAAUUCUCCUCAAGAAUUUAAUUACGAUAGGCCACCAAAUUUCUGCAAUUAUGGAUUAAAGGCAACAAAAUGGGUUUCAUGGAGUGAAUCAAACCCAAGAAGAAGGUUCUAUUCAUGUCAAUAUUUAAGAUGACAGCCAAAAGGAUGUCAUUCUUCGAGUGGCACCAUGAGAAGAUGAGUGAGAGGGCUGUGAAUGUCAUAAAUGAUUUGAGGGUAAAUUUUUUUACUGUCAAUGAAGGCAAUGCACAUUCUUAUCAAUUGAUAAGGGAUAGAUAUGAUAUUCGUGCACAGGAAAUGGAGGUUGAGAUGCAAGUUGUAUUAUGUGAUUUGCUUGAGCAGAAGAAUGAAUUUAAUAACCUCAAGGGAAGAGUAUUUUGGUUAUGGAUUGGUCUUGGGUUAAUGUUGGUGUUUUGCACUUUGCUCUGUUAUGGGAGAUAUCUGUAGAGCAUGUCUGACCUGUGCUUAGCUUAUUUUAUACAAUUUAUUACUCUGUUAGCUUUGCAUAGCUUGUCACAAUGUAGUUAGAUGCAGGAACUUAUUAUGUAAUAUUGAAUUUUGAUUUCAAUGGGAAUGAGAAAUACUAGAAAUGGUUUUAUUAAA
Jatropha curcas is the source of this 767-nucleotide non-coding RNA. The record is from RefSeq and is a predicted model, not a curated record. NCBI's taxonomy places the organism in Eukaryota, Viridiplantae, Streptophyta, Magnoliopsida, Malpighiales, Euphorbiaceae.